RNAcentral lists this ribosomal RNA (156 nucleotides) under Brassica napus (rape). Its description in RNAcentral is "rRNA 5_8S_rRNA". It matches the Rfam family "5.8S ribosomal RNA". From Rfam's summary of the family: 5.8S ribosomal RNA (5.8S rRNA) is a component of the large subunit of the eukaryotic ribosome. It is transcribed by RNA polymerase I as part of the 45S precursor that also contains 18S and 28S rRNA. Functionally, it is thought that 5.8S rRNA may be involved in ribosome translocation. The record is from RNAcentral. Lineage: Eukaryota; Viridiplantae; Streptophyta; Magnoliopsida; Brassicales; Brassicaceae.
GACUCUCGGCAACGGAUAUCUCGGCUCUCGCAUCGAUGAAGAACGUAGCAAAAUGCGAUACUUGGUGUGAAUUGCAGAAUCCCGUGAACCAUCGAGUCUUUAAACGCAAGUUGCGCCCCAAGCCUUCUGGCUGAGGGCACGUCUGCCUGGGUGUCA